RNAcentral lists this unclassified non-coding RNA (1279 nucleotides) under Hevea brasiliensis (rubber tree). The record is from RNAcentral. Lineage: Eukaryota; Viridiplantae; Streptophyta; Magnoliopsida; Malpighiales; Euphorbiaceae.
CGUGUCACCUAAGUGCCCCUUCGGAUAUGAUGGCCAGAAGAGCAAGCCUAAACAAGACUCUGGAGAAUCUGCGACAAUGUCACCUAAGUGCCCCUUUGGUUAUGAUUCUCAAGCAUUUAAACUGGGUCCUUUUAGCUGCAUGAUAUGUCAAGCACUUCUUUAUGAGAGCAGCAGAUGUGUGCCCUGUUCACAUGUAUUCUGCAAGGCAUGUCUCUCCCGCUUUAAGGACUGUCCAUUGUGUGGUGCUGAUAUUGAAAAGAUUGAGGCCGAUAUGAAUCUUCAGAAUGUUGUCGAUCGCUUUAUUGAAGGGCAUGCAAGGAUUAAGAGGUCUAAUAAUGAGCAAGAAGAUAUAGUGGAAAAGAAAACUGUUAUAUACGAGGAUGCAUCUUUGGAGCGUGGAGCUUUCCUGGUUCAACAAGCCAUGCGGGCUUUUCGUGCCAAUAAUAUUGAUAGUGCAAAAUCAAGAUUUACUAUGUGUGCAGAUGACAUCAGAGAACAGCUUCAGAGAAUGGGGAAUACAUCAGAGUUGUGCUCACAGCUCGGAGCAGUUCUUGGUAUGCUUGGUGACUGCAGUCGAGCUACAGGAGAUGCUGUAUCUGCAGUCGCUUACUUUGAAGAGAGUGUCAAUUUCCUUUUGAAAGUACCCAAAGAUGAUGUAGAGAUCACACAUACACUUUCUGUUUCACUAAACAAAAUUGGAGAUCUUAAAUACUAUGCCGGUGAUUUGCAAACUGCCAGAUCUCAUUAUUUUCGGGCGUUGGAUGUUCGCCGCAAUGCCAUCAAGCAACAGUCUGUGCCAUCUCAGGUAGUCGAUGUAGCCAUUUCCUUAGCCAAAGUUGCUGAUAUCGAUCGAAAUCUCGGGGAUGAGGAUACUGCAGUUGAAGGAUUUCAAGAAGGCAUAAAGUUACUGCAAUCCCUUGAACUAAAACCCGAAGAAGUUAGCCUUGAACAACGGCGGCAAUCAGUGCUCGAGUUCCUCAACAGCCAACUUGAAAAGAACGAAACUUAACUCAGCUGCCCGAAUGAAGUCCUUUCCUACAUAGUUAAGGACGAAUAAGAACAAUGUGUGUUCUCUCAUAUAGUUUGGUGUAAACACUAGAUGCUCGGUUCAGAGGCAACCUGAGAUAAACUUCGAUGUAAUCGCCGUAGAAUAAGUGAGAUUUUUAAUAGUAAUAUGCCUGUGGCAAAGUCAAUAUAGUCCUAUGUUCCAAAAUCUCAGUAUCUUGUGUAUGUAUCUUUACCACAAGUUGACAAUAUUAUUAAGUUAUUGGAGGUUUAU